This 617-nucleotide long non-coding RNA is filed under the name Panax ginseng (ginseng). RNAcentral's name for it is "long non-coding RNA (PGIN_LNC001049)". The record is from RNAcentral. Lineage: Eukaryota; Viridiplantae; Streptophyta; Magnoliopsida; Apiales; Araliaceae.
AAGAAAAACACAGCAUGAGCCAAUUGCCCAGUACGGAUACAGAUAUACAAAAGAUAUACAACUGAUAUACGAAAAUAACUGAGACAAAAUACUGAACAAAGCCUCAAGUGCAAAUACGAAAGAAAAUAUAAUAUCCAAAGAUUUGAAUGGAAUAUAUCUGAAUCAACGUAAUUGACGAAACCAAUAAAAGAAUAAAGAAAUAACGAACUGAAGUAACUAACUCAAUGACUUGAACUGAACAGAAACCAACAAAACUAAUCCAAUAAAAUAAUAGGCUGAAACAAAUGGCUGGAGUUAUUUUAUACUGAAUGAGCUCAGAAAUACACAUUGCCACAUAGACAAGUCAAAAUAAUGCCACACAGGCAACCAACAUAAUGCCACACAGGCAAAUCACACAUUGGAUCGCGAAUCCAAAUGUAUGCAAAUCGGAUAGGUGUGUUUGGCACAACAUCACACAUCCGCAGAACAGAAAACUAGGGUUAACCCAUACGCCUCCCACAACAAAACACCAAAUGGCCCACUUCCUCCGGAGCCCAAAAUGGAGACGCCGUGGACUAAUCACACCGCCACGGAAAGUGUCACGUCUCUCGUGCCAAGACGACGUGCCUGUGGUACCC